Molecule: ribosomal RNA, 253 nt
Filed under: uncultured bacterium
Lineage: Bacteria
Description: partial 16S ribosomal RNA
Rfam family: Bacterial small subunit ribosomal RNA
Source: RNAcentral
UACGUAGGUGGCAAGCGUUACUCGGAAUCACUAGGCGUAAAGCGCAGGUAGGCGGUUUGAUAAGUCUGUUGUGAAAGCUCCCGGCUCAACUGGGAGAGGCCAACGGAAACUGUCAGGCUAGAGUGUGGUAGAGGAAACUGGAAUUCCUGGUGUAGCGGUGAAAUGCGUAGAUAUCAGGAGGAACACCUAUGGCGAAAGCAGGUUUCUGGGCCAUCACUGACGCUGAGCUGCGAAAGCUAGGGGAGCAAACAGG